Molecule: ribosomal RNA, 261 nt
Filed under: uncultured archaeon
Lineage: Archaea
Description: partial 16S ribosomal RNA
Rfam family: Archaeal small subunit ribosomal RNA
Source: RNAcentral
CAGCCCUAAACGAUGCGCGUUAGGUGUAUCGGUGACCACGAGUCACCGAGGUGCCGAAGGGAAACCGUGAAACGUGCCGCCUGGGAAGUACGGUCGCAAGGCUGAAACUUAAAGGAAUUGGCGGGGGAGCACCGCAACGGGUGGAGCCUGCGGUUUAAUUGGACUCAACGCCGGGAAGCUCACCGGAUAAGACAGCGGAAUGAUUGCCGGGCUGAAGACCCUGCAUGACCAGCUGAGAGGAGGUGCAUGGCGUAGUCGUGU